RNAcentral lists this long non-coding RNA (5250 nucleotides) under Sus scrofa (pig). RNAcentral describes it as "lncRNA (ENSSSCG00025058791.1)". The record is from RNAcentral. Lineage: Eukaryota; Metazoa; Chordata; Mammalia; Artiodactyla; Suidae.
UUUUUUUUUUUUUUUUUUUUUUUUCCUUUUGAGAGAGGAGCUGAGCUGUUGGUGCAGGGAGAUAUACCUUUUCUGGUUUAUUUUCCUUUUACGUUAAACAAAAAGGAAAAGAAAGAAAAUGGCUACCACCUCUUCCUGAGCACUGAGGAGGCCAGACCUUUGCGAACCGGGAGACGGUGCUUGAAACCCUUUUUCUUCCCUGUAUCUCUCCCGCACCCCUCACCCCCAACCUUCUACUGUCAGCUCUGCUACAGCCCAAGGAGAAAAAUGGUCAUAGGCACUUGUGUCGGUCAUUUGCCCUCAGUCUUGCUCUUUUCUUAGGACAAGUAGUUACCAGUUUUUCCCCUUCUUUUUACAAACUGGUCCUUUUCAUCUGGUUUCCAAAUCCUUUUGCUAAAAAUGGGUCCGGGACAUUUGAUUUGUCUUUUUAAACACCCAGCGUUGCAGCGGUGAACAGCAGCAGGCGUGGGGUGGGGGCAUUCUCCUUACUGGAGAUGACCUGGGGCAGACACAACCCAGUGGGUGCACACACCUCUGGCGGGGGAAGGGGUAGGCUGAUUAACAAAUUAGUUACCAAAUGUGUAUUGAUGCCUGCGAGUUUUUAAAAAGCACAUCCAGAAUUUCACUUUCACGUGUGCCUGAUUGUAUUGCUCUUCUCUCUAGCCGAGCAUAUGGAUCUUACUAAUCAUUGACAUUUAAAAUGUGGUAUUCCAAAGACUUGGGAGACAGCUUUGGAUUCUCACUUUGUUUGCAUGAUAAAACCUGAGUGUCUUUCAAGAGGGUAGGAAACCUUUCGCAUUGGUGAAUCUGGCAUUGACAUAUUUAUCCCAGACUUUUACUUCUCCCCAAGCUGCCUACCAAGCUAUGGUGGUAUUUGCCAAAUUGGGAAGAUAAUUGCAGUAUCGAUGUGUGAGUAAUGACACAGUGUUGCAUAAUAAUAAUUUAAGCAACUGUGUUUUUGUUUACGGUGAUGUAACUUUCCCAGAGUUUGUUUGUAGCUUUAAAGGGUUUAAGUGCGAGCAGAUUGCUCUUGAGCAGCUGCCCUGAAGAAAGUGAGCUUGAUUCAGCUCUCCGGUUUAGGGAUCUGCAGUCCCCAUCUUUAUCUGCAGUCCCAACCUGGAGGUCCCAGGAGCUGAGUGGAAGGAGCUGAUGACUUGGCUUUACCUGAUAAAGCCUGCCUGAAUUGUUCAUGACAUGGAAGAAUACUCCUGUUCAAGGCAAAUUAAAAAGCCAGAGGCAGCAGUACUGUGAAAAGCCAGCUCAGUUAAAUGGGCAGCAUAUAACAUAGCUGAAAUACAGCUCUUUAAUGAGUGUGUCUCAAGUGGUAAAAAUGAGUGCAAAUGAAUUCAAAACCAACCACCCCAUUUGCUCCAACAUUUCAAACAUACUGAGACUGUCAUGUGUUCAGGCUGCUGUUUCAUAGCCCAUGAUGUGUAGACAGUGUACAUUUUCCAUGUUAUAAUGACUUGGAGAUAGACAAGUAUUUUAAUUCGGUCGUUAGAGUAGAGACAAGUGAAAAUCAGUUAUACAUCUAGGUCCACAGCAAGGCGGCCUACAAACUCAUAGGAAACCCACACUUUUCCAGGCACCAAUAUGUCCACUGUCCUUUUUCUUAAAGACCCAGAUUCCAGGGCCGCAGACUUGGGCAUGAAUCUGAUUUAUAACUAUAAAAGUGACACACCAAGAUCUAUUAAUUUACACUCAGACAUAAGAAAAGUAACAAAUGAAGAAGUCUUUGUUGGCCGUAAGGCAUGCCUGUAAACUUGGGAAACGCUUCCCUAUAGUUGAUCUGAAUUAAUACUUUUUUGUGAUAUCAAUGAGUUGCCAUUAUAGAGAUCAUAUUCAGGCAGGUGAUUUAGCUUUUUAAAAUGUUUGUGGUAUCAAAGUUGUGUGUUUCGUUUUUUAAAGGGGAAAACCCACAAACUGAGCUUUCUUAUUAUAGGAAGAGUUUAGUAAAAUUCUUAAUAUGUUGCUGCUUUAGAACUAAAGCGAACAGGCAUUUCAUUUGAUGAUAUUAAUAAAUAUGUGAACACCAUAAACAUUAAUUAUGGUGUUUUCUUAGUUAACUGGUCAUGUUUUUAUUUUCAAAGGAACAAAGUCUGGGAGUGAAAAACUUUAGCUUUUCUUAUAUUGGGAUUGUGGGAUUGCUCUACCACUGAAGUGUUUUUCAACUUUCAAUUUAGGAUUGUUGUGUCAAACUGUCAUAUCCCCAGUUGUGAAAACAGAAAAUUUCUGUUUGUUUGUUUGGCUUCAAAGUUAAUUCAAUCAUUUUAUCUAAAGUCCAUGGAAGCCUAUUACUAUUGUACCUAGCGUAGUCAUUAAGACAAAUAGUAAUGUUAUAUAAUACAUUUUUUAGAAAAAAUAAAGCAAUUUUUGAGACAACUUUGAAUUGAGACAACUCUCGUGAUCAAGUAACAUCAUCAAAACAACACAGGCACUGGUAAAAUUAUGUUUUGGAGUUAUUAUUUACAUUUAAAUCUACAAAACAAAAAGAACUAGAAAGAUGAGUUUUAUAAGACUUUCCAAUCAACAUUUAGUUUGGGAAUUAACAGGUAUCUGUAUCACUGUUAUUAGCCACUGAGAAAACCUCUCUUGAUCAUGCUAACCCCCCCUCCCUAGAAAAUUCAAAUAUGUUUUAAAUAGCACCUGACAUUGACAUUGCAGAGUCUUUCAGUUAUCAGUAAUAUAAAAUCGAGGUGUAUUCUCAAAUUUUGACUUUGAGAAACUAAAUUGAACAUGAAUCACUGUAUUUUUUAACAUAUUUUGAAGCAAGUAUCACCCAUAUUAUCUGUUUAGGCUUUACUCAAAUAUUACACUGCCCACAUAAGGACAUAAGAUUUAUUGCAAUCUGAUGUUCAAAUACAGAUUUUCAAAAGUUAGUCCUCCUAACACAAGGCAUUGGAUUCAGAGGAAGAGCAGUGAGGUAGGAUGUGCCUAUUUAUUUGGUACAAUGUCAUGUGUCAUAUGUUUGCACCGAUCUGGAGAAGGUAUUCUGCCCUGGUGUUCUGGCAAAUAAGGUAACCUAGGCUGGCCUAGAGUCACGUGCCUCUUUGUAAGAGCGGAUCACCAUGUACUUGUCGAGUAUCCCCGAAGAUAAUGUAGGGCCAGGCUACAGCAGCAGCCAGUAAAUGUUUUCCAGACUUAAAUUUAUUUGAUAGUUCAAUUUUUUCUUAAUUUUUGACAGUGAAUAUAAAUUUUGGAAGUGAAUAGGGCUAGUAGAAAUACUUUGGCAGAAAACCAGUUGGGAAAAUUUUGUUUCUAUCUUCUAUCUCAUGACAAAUUAAAAUACAUUUGAUUUAUUGUCAACUUUAUAGCUCUUGGGAGGACCAGCAAACUAAUAGAAUAAUGUUAAAACCAGAAACACUUACCAUUCUCUGGCUUCUUUCUGAAAGAAGCAAUUCUUUUUUCAAUAUACCAAAAACUUACCACAUACCAUACAAACUUCAAUUUUUCGGCUCUCAGCCUGGCCCUGCUUACAACAAGCUGGCCAUUUCAAGAACCCUCACCCGGCUAAAGCACUCUUUCUAAUUGGUUCUCCUUGCUCUCAUUUUGGUUUUCUUUCCUUUGUAAACACAAAGUAAAAACUAUGCCAAACUGCCAAACUUUAUUGAAGGCAAAUGCCAUUCUUUCCAGCAUUAUUUUACUAAACAAGGUAUGAGCGAUUGAAUGACUCUUAAUAUCUGCAGUAAACCAAGGCACUAAUCUUGCAUACUAAAACUUAGAGUAUUUUUCCAAACAACUCAUUUCUACACUUGCGUGCUCUAAGAUAGAAACCAACUUCUCUUCUUCACACAUUACAAAUAAUGGCCUUCAGGGACCACUCAUUGUUUCCGUAGGUACACAGUUUGCUUGUGCAGCCCAACUCAUAAUGUUCAUAGUAAAGAAGAUAAGAAGAAUAUAAAACAGGAAAAUAGCAUCACUGUAUUUUUAUCAUUUUAUAGUACUACAUUAUUUAUAUAAAGAAUAUUGUAUAAAGCCAGAACUAGACUAUUUGCAUCCCAAUUAAGGAAAAACUCUGCUUGCUUAAAUAUGAGUUUUCUCAUAAUAUAUAAGGUAUUUUAUUUUAUACCUUAUUUACUGGCCAUUGUGAAUAGGUAUUAUAUUAAUAUGAGAUAUUUAAUUUUUUAACAUUGCAGAUAAAGUGAUAAUAAUCUCCUAUCAGAACUUCUUUUAAAAUUGCUUAAUGUCAUAGUCUUAAAGUGUUAAUUGGCAAACUAAUGGCAUGAAGACAUUAAUACAUUCCUAACUAGGGUGAGUAGUUCAGCGAAAAUGGUAGCCAAAUAUUUUUCAGUGCAAAGAGAAAUAUAGUACAGUAUGAUUUACCAAGAUGAAAUGAAGUAAGUUUGACCUAAAUGUCUUUUGGUUCCAGGUUAGGCUCUGGGACAUCUUGACUAAUUUUCCCACUUGCAAAACAAAAGGAAAAAAAAAGAGACAAUGGAGCAGAGAAAGAACAGAUCAUUUGUUUUGAAUCCCUGCAAUCUGUUCUCCACAUUGUUCUCAAAGUGAUUUUUCUAAACAAAAAUUGAUCUUGUUACCACCUUCUUUAAGCCUUUCAAUGGCCCCUGUUUUUUUUUUUAAUUUAUUUUUUUUUUUAGGGAUCGAAUCCGAGCUGCAGCUGUGACCCGUGCCACAGCUGCGGCAGUGCUGGAUCAAUGGCUCCCCAUUAACCACAGGAUAAAGUGUAAAAUUUUAAAAGUUGGCCACUAGCCCCAGAAUGUUCUGAUCCAUAUUCGGCCUCUUCUUGGUACCAGCUCUUUCACUAGCUUGCAGUCCAUUUUAUUUCUUCUUUCACCGUUCCCCUAUCCUUCCUCCCCCCCAGUCCCAUUCCCCCUGGUCAACUCUUAUUUAUAUUUGAGGGGAAAAAAAAAAUCCCUGGUCUCACAUUCAAAAAGCAUUUCAGGAGUUCCCAUUGUGGCUCAGCGGUCAGUGAACCCAACUAGUAUCCACGAGGAUGCAGGUUUGAUCCCUGGCCUCAAAAAAAAAAAACCCAAAACCAAAAAACAUUUCAACAAUGAAUGAAUGAACAAAUGGUUGACUUCACAGACCAAAGAAAAUAUGCUGGAGUUCCCGCUGUGCCACAGUGGGUCAGUGAUCUGGCUUGUCUCUGUGGAAGUUUUGGUUUCAAACCAGCCCAGCACAGUGGAUUGAGGAUUCAGAAUUGCUGCAGCUGUGCUAUAGGUCACAGCUCUGGCUUGGAUUUGAUCCCUGGCCCAGGAAUUUCCAUAUGCUGUGGGUGUGGCCAGAAAAGAA